Molecule: long non-coding RNA, 3612 nt
Filed under: Homo sapiens (human)
Lineage: Eukaryota; Metazoa; Chordata; Mammalia; Primates; Hominidae
Description: HSALNT0063092
Source: RNAcentral
UCUCACCAGGCUGCGCGCUGGCGGGUCGGUGCACAGGGACGGGGUCGCCGCCCACGCGCGCUUGGUUCAGGGAGCCCAGGCUGUCCCUACCCGCGGCUACAAAAGCUCGCCGAGUCUUCCUGUCCACCCAAUCGCCCCACAUGUCAGCGGUUGGUCGCCUCGCGGUGCAGUGCUGGGCACGCGAGCCCCUCCCGCAGUCAUUCUCAGCACAAGCACCAGCCUGGAGCCCCGCAGCGACAGAGCUGAGAGCCCCCAAGCCGCAGAGGUCGUGCGGAGCAGGCCUAAGGCAAUAGCUAAUUGAGACUAUGCAUCACUAUUAAGGCAUCUUCACUAAAGGGCGCUGUGGAAACGCUGCCUGAGAUGCAGACACCUGUCAGAAGGGGGCUAAAUUUCAAACAAGGAACGUGGUGUUGCAUCACAAUAAAGUAGAUUCUAGUAUUACCUUCCUUUUUCAGAAGAGGAGACCAAUGGGGAGCAUUGGAAUGAUUUGGUUGCAAGCAUACUACACUACUUGUAAACUGCAGACACAGGCUUAAAAAAAGUGAAAAACUAACCAUGCAAUAAAGAAUGGAAUGAACCAUGAAGCUGUUUCUGUGGCCAGUCAUGUUUUUGAAGCAUAUCCCAUGCUAAUUUCUAGAACAGAAGAAACACACGUGUUCUUGUGUGUAAACCCAGUCCAUGGAAGAGACCGUCUGCUUGUCCCUCCUGAUCUCUGGGCCCAGACAACCAGUAGUCACCAUUCCAAGUGAGGGGUGGCUGCAACUCUACAGCCCCGUUCGUCUCUCCUCACUGUCAAAGCUGCUGAGACCCCAGACUCGACACUUGAAAGAAACCCAUGUCUGUGAAGCACUUGUGGACCAUUCAAGAUUGUGGAAGAAUCACUCAAGAGAAGGAGAUAGCAAUAUUUGCAGAUAUGCAAACUGGCCCCUUGCAUGCACAUCCUGGAGCACGUCCUGGAGCCUUUAGAGGUGAGUGAGAAGGAGACGGCUGCUGCUGUUCCAGUCUCUCCUUAGGCAGACUUGAGUUUCUACCCACUCUUCCCAAGCAGCCGCCCCUCCGCACCCGAGCGAGCCAAAGACCUGGCGGGCUGAGUACUCACUGCGCGCUGGACACAUGCUGAGCCGGCACUGCAGGGACACAGGGCGAGCCGCUGGAUGCAGACCUGUGGCCGCGGCAGUUGGGCUUAUCUUGCCCAUGAAGUUGCCUCUGAAGAACCAAGUCCAACUGUGUAUGCUGAGAGAUGUCUGGCUACUUCCUGAUUGACAGUUCUGGCAAGGUGGCAUUGGGCCCUGGCUUUUCCUCUGGAGGCAUCAUCACUUAUAGGAAAAUGUCCCCUGAAGUCCAAGGAUCAAAGCUGCUGGAACACUGAGAAGCUGAACAAAGGAGAACUGUUUCUCAUCAAACCCAGACUUCCAGACUUCCAAUAGGGUAGAAUGAGCAAGUCAGCAAAUCAUCUUCCUUGGAAACAGUGAUAAAACUAGAUGACAUUGUCAACAACAGCCAUUUCAGAAAUCUAGAAAAUGACCAAAGGCAAACAACAAACUGAGAAGCAUUUUUUUUUCCAUGAAAAAUCGCUCUAUUUCUGCAAAAAUAGUGGGAGUCUAUGGCUUCUCAUCCAGGGCUGUUUCUCUCCCCACCCCAGCUCAGUCAGUACAAAGGUUCUGGCAGCAUGAGGCAGACUGAACAGACCUGAAGUUUGAUUGCUGGAAGAAACUGACUCCAGGUUUGGCAGAGGGUGAGAAACCUACUCCCAGCCAUGUUGUCUGGUGACACAGUGACCUUAGGGACAAGUGAAUAGGGAAGGCCAGUGAUUCAUUAACCUGAGGUUGCAGUCCUGGUUGGGGAAAGCAUCAGAAUGGCAGAUAAGCUAGAAAUUUAGUAGGGAUAUGCUGGAAAUGAGACAACCCCAAAGGGGCUUGACCCCAAAGUUGUCCACACACCCCAGCUGCCUUCUGAGCAGAUGUAGGGAGAGACCAGAGAAGGCCUAGGCUAUCCACACAUCUCUGGCUAACCCAGGCUGUAAACCUGUGGAGGAGACACAAGAGGUGGAUUGAUUGCUAAUGGGCAUAUGGGGGAUCUUACUGGUUGAUAGGAACAUUCUCAAAUUGGAUUGUGGUGAUGCUUGCACAACUCUAAGUUUAUCCCAAAUUGCUAAAUUUUACACUAAAAAGGGGUGAACUUUAGGGUAUAUAAAUUAUACAUCAAUAAAGUUGUCAUAAAGCAUUCACAUUCUAAUAAAUGGCUCUAAGAAAUAUUGUUUUGAAAAUUUUCCUUUGGUAUAUUAUGGCACUCCAAAAUCAACUUCUGUCAGAACAAUAAUUAACUAUUUCUGAUUAUAGAUAUUGGUCAUCUACAAUGAUUUAUUCAGUCUUUUAUGUCCCGCAUAAGGGCUUAGAAUGCUUUAAAUUUCUAAGACCAUCAAUAGCCAGGACUCACCUGAAAACUAUAUAUAUUUUUAAAAAGACGUAUGCUCUGGGACACCAUAUGCUAACAUUUGUUGAGCACACAGUUUGCUACAGAGGUUAAGAGGUGUACUAUUUAAAUCUAACUUCCUCAAGGGGCUCACACUAUUACAAUAGUAAGCUAAAGAGAUAGAAGAAAAGUUUAUAUAUAAAAUCUCAGUACAGGGAUGGGGUUGGUAACAAAUAAGAUGCUGCCACUUACACUUGAUAAAUUAUAAAAUAUCUAUUGCAUUCAUUAUUGGAGGCUGACCCUUAUAAAAACCUUGUGGGUACUGCAAAAGACAGGGAAACCGAGGCUCAGAGUGGUUCAGCAACUUGUGUGAGGUCACAUACCUCAUGUCAAAGCUGAGAUUUAAAUGUGUGUGGCUAGGCUGGACAUGGUGGCUCACACCUGUAAUCCUAGCACCCUGGGAGGCUGAGGUGGAACACACUCCUUGUUUGUGUCCAGGAGUUCAAGACCAGCCUGGACAACAUAAUGAGACCUCAUCUCUACAAAAAAUAAAAAAUUAGCUGGGUGUGGGGCCACGCACCCCAAGGUUCUCAGGAGGCUGAGGCAGGAGGACUGCUUGAAAUCAGGAGGUUGAGCCUGCAGUGAGCUGUGAUCAUGCCACUGCACUCUGCCUGGGUGACAGAGUGAGACCCUGUCUCAAAAAAAUAAAAAUAAAAACAAAUAAAUGUGUGUGGCUGAUUCUCAUGCAAAUAUUGGUGAAGAUCUGGUAGUGAUGUAAAUUGGUAGAACCUCAGUGGGAGAUAACUUUGCAAUAGCUAUCAAAUGAAAACUGUGUAUAUUCUUUGUUUCAGGAAUUUCACUUCUAAGAUGUUUUUAAUAUAGCAGAAAUGGUUAUCCAUAAAGAAUUAGUUCAAUACAUUUUAUCUGUAAAAUGGAAUGCAAUGCGGCCAUUAAAAAGGAGGCAUAUCUGAGUAUACUAAUAUAGAAUGGUCUGCAAGAUAUAUUAACUUUUUUACAAAAGCUGUUCCCCACACUUCUUCGUGUUGUUUGAAAAGACGUGAAGGCUCAGACAGGCCUUCAUUGUGACUUGCCCAGGAUGAGUAGCAGGGCUGGAAUUCCUACUCAGGAGUCCAGAUUUAUAGGCUUCCUCUUUGCUUUAUCCUAUUUCAUAGCUGUCUCUGUUGCCAGAGCCAUGGAAGG